RNAcentral lists this long non-coding RNA (597 nucleotides) under Trifolium pratense (red clover). RNAcentral describes it as "long non-coding RNA (TPRA_LNC010583)". Lineage: Eukaryota; Viridiplantae; Streptophyta; Magnoliopsida; Fabales; Fabaceae. The record is from RNAcentral.
UUGCUUUUUGUGGCUUUUUGUCAUCAUAUUACAUUAUUUGAGGUUAGUUUGUCUAAUUAAUUUGAAAUUGUUAGGAUAAAAAAAAUAUUAUCAUUAUUCAUAAAAAUAUUAGUUGAUAAAGAAGUGGAGGUAAAAAAAAUUAAUAUAAAUGUUUUUUUAUUAUAAAAAAAUUAAUAUAAAUGUUAUUAUACUAUAUAUAGUUUUGGAUAAAAAAUAAUAUUAGUGACAGAUGAUAUACGCAGGAGAUGUUUAGUAAAAAAAAAUUAUGAUUAUUAAAAAAUAUUAGUAAAAAUAUUAGUUUUGGAUAAAAAAAUAUUAGUAAAAAAUAUCAUCAUUAUUGUUUGAUGUUUAGUAAAAAAUAUUAUCAUUAUUGUUUUGAAUUAAUGUCAAUGAUAUACGCAGGAGAUUGAUCAAUAUAUGUCUCAUCGAAGUUGGAUGUAUGAUAGAAAAUAUCCGGGUGGUAGGAUAGUUAAAGCGUGUUUUAAGGAUGGAGUUGAAGAAUUUGUUACUUACGCGAUGUCGCAAGAUAUUGUUAAAAGUGAGGGAGGGAUAAGAUGUCCGUGUAUUAAAUGUAUGUGUGGGUCGAUUGAGAGCGCG